Molecule: long non-coding RNA, 828 nt
Organism: Etheostoma spectabile (orangethroat darter)
Lineage: Eukaryota; Metazoa; Chordata; Actinopteri; Perciformes; Percidae
Exons: 4
Source: RefSeq, a predicted model, not a curated record
AGGACAAGAAAACCAGCAAUGCAUGAAAGGAAUGGUGUCCUGUAGCGGUCCGUGCGACAUCGAAGUAGAAGGAAAAGAAAAACCAGAACAAGUAGCAGGACAAGAAGAAGAAGAAGAAGACUAAACUGAACAAGCCGCGGAAACAGACAGAGCCCAAGACAACUGAAGGAUUACAUUUCACCUGGAUCUGCUGCGUUGUGUGACACAAACUGUUCAUCUUCCAGUAUCUCCGGGAAGAACAGUCUCGUCUGCCUGGCUUCUCCUCACUGGAACCUUGAACAACAAAACAGCAAAGUCCAAAUAGACCAGUCUGAAGUUGACAUCAUUAGAAGUUUGUUAUCAGCUAAAGUAAGGGUGAACUUCCAUCUAUAGAAAGCCUAGUGAACAAAACCUUUGAGUCUGUUCUGCACUAAACUGUCUCUACAACACUAUAUGCUUUAAAGGAUUUGUUUUGAAGACUCCGACUCAGAGACAGUAGCUGAUGUCCUGAUGCUCCACUCAGACUAAACAGUAGUGAUAAUAACAACAGACUCUCAGAGACAGACAGAUUCAAACAAAGCAGCUCUGGUUUCAGCUCCAACUCAUCAGCCAAAACUUUAAAUGUGCAGCUUCACUACCAACUGGUGCUUAUUUUAAUGUUAAAGUGGUUUCCCAUGGUGCAAACUAAGGAUUUUGGGCUAAAUAUGGUACUUUCACAGCUAAAACAUUUUUUUAAUGAGCUACUUACUGUUGGCGAUGGGGUUUUACAUGAACACACAUUUUCUACACUUUAUAACAGUUAGGGUUGUUUCACAUGAGAAAUUUCUGUUGUGGUGUGUUGUUUCAGUA